UUUUGACAUUUUCAUAAGAAUUAGGGAGGAGGAAGAGAAAGACAGUUACGAGAUUAUUUCCAGGCCUUGAUCUGACGUGCACACAUGUAUAUAUAUUCAUGUGUAGUAAGGAGGAGAUA
RNAcentral lists this non-coding RNA (119 nucleotides) under Geminigera cryophila. The record is from RNAcentral. Lineage: Eukaryota; Cryptophyceae; Pyrenomonadales; Geminigeraceae.